Cyprinus carpio (common carp) is the source of this 755-nucleotide long non-coding RNA. RefSeq lists it as uncharacterized. The record is from RefSeq and is a predicted model, not a curated record. NCBI's taxonomy places the organism in Eukaryota, Metazoa, Chordata, Actinopteri, Cypriniformes, Cyprinidae. The transcript is spliced from 3 exons.
UACAAUUAAACCGCACUGCGUGAAUGAGCGCGCGCACGCACUGAAGACGCCGCGUGCUCAAGGAGCCACAAUAAACAAUCUUUGCGGAAAUCCUAAACACACCUGUAGUCCUCAGCACUAUAUGAUGCGGCUUAUAACCAUCUUAACGGCCAGAAUCAGAAAAUGACAUCUAAAAAAGCAGAGUUUACUGAGAGAAGCGUCUCAUCAGAUCAUUGAUCAGCAGGGUCACAUGUGUUUGUCUGCGUUCGCCCAGGAUGCACCGAAGAGACGCGAAGCAACAGCCCAGACGCCCAUGUGAUGCAUCAUACAUACCCAACAAUUGUUUUAUUAAGCAUUUCAAGUAAUAUAUACAGCAGACGGAGCAGAUGCCUGCACAUUUGUAAUAAGCAAUGACGCCAGCUGCUUUGCAAAAGGUUUCAUUAUGCAUUUUGAGCUCGUCAAAAUGUAUUGGCGGAGAAAUAGGAAAAUCAUGAAGAGUUCUUUAACGAGAAGGGACCAGUGCAGUGGCGCUUUACUUUAUUUUCUGUGCCAUUACAGACAGUCUGUGUUGAUCAUAAUCAUUUUUGUUUUUGAGUUUCUAAUGCUUAGGCUGUCUACCUUUCAUACAACUCUAUUUUAAGAGUGACAAUGAAAGAUUCUGGAAUUUAGGUACCAGGUUUUACAUUAAGAAAAAAAUUAAAGCAUCCUUUUCAUAUGGUUUUAAAUUUUAACAUCCCACUUUUGACCCUUGCAUCAUAUUUAGCAAUAAUUUAGAA